GACGAACGCUGGCGGCGUGCUUAACACAUGCAAGUCGAACGGAAAGGCCCUGCUUUUGUGGGGUGCUCGAGUGGCGAACGGGUGAGUAACACGUGAGUAACCUGCCCUUGACUUUGGGAUAACUUCAGGAAACUGGGGCUAAUACCGGAUAGGAGCUCCUGCUGCAUGGUGGGGGUUGGAAAGUUUCGGCGGUUGGGGAUGGACUCGCGGCUUAUCAGCUUGUUGGUGGGGUAGUGGCUUACCAAGGCUUUGACGGGUAGCCGGCCUGAGAGGGUGACCGGCCACAUUGGGACUGAGAUACGGCCCAGACUCCUACGGGAGGCAGCAGUGGGGAAUAUUGCACAAUGGGCGGAAGCCUGAUGCAGCAACGCCGCGUGCGGGAUGACGGCCUUCGGGUUGUAAACCGCUUUCGCCUGUGACGAAGCGUGAGUGACGGUAAUGGGUAAAGAAGCACCGGCUAACUACGUGCCAGCAGCCGCGGUGAUACGUAGGGUGCGAGCGUUGUCCGGAUUUAUUGGGCGUAAAGGGCUCGUAGGUGGUUGAUCGCGUCGGAAGUGUAAUCUUGGGGCUUAACCCUGAGCGUGCUUUCGAUACGGGUUGACUUGAGGAAGGUAGGGGAGAAUGGAAUUCCUGGUGGAGCGGUGGAAUGCGCAGAUAUCAGGAGGAACACCAGUGGCGAAGGCGGUUCUCUGGGCCUUUCCUGACGCUGAGGAGCGAAAGCGUGGGGAGCGAACAGGCUUAGAUACCCUGGUAGUCCACGCUGUAAACGGUGGGUACUAGGUGUGGGGUCCAUUCCACGGGUUCCGUGCCGUAGCUAACGCUUUAAGUACCCCGCCUGGGGAGUACGGCCGCAAGGCUAAAACUCAAAGGAAUUGACGGGGCCCCGCACAAGCGGCGGAGCAUGCGGAUUAAUUCGAUGCAACGCGUAGAACCUUACCUGGGUUUGACAUGGAUCGGGAGUGCUCAGAGAUGGGUGUGCCUCUUUUGGGGUCGGUUCACAGGUGGUGCAUGCCUGUCGUCAGCUCGUGUCGUGAGAUGUUGGGUUAAGUCCCGCAACGAGCGCAACCCUUGUUCACUGUUGCCAGCACGUUAUGGUGGGGACUCAGUGGAGACCGCCGGGGUCAACUCGGAGGAAGGUGGGGAUGACGUCAAGUCGUCAUGCCCCUUAUGUCCAGGGCUUCACGCAUGCUACAAUGGCUGGUACAGAGAGUGGCGAGCCUGUGAGGGUGAGCGAAUCUCGGAAAGCCGGUCUCAGUUCGGAUUGGGGUCUGCAACUCGACCUCAUGAAGUCGGAGUCGCUAGUAAUCGCAGAUCAGCAACGCUGCGGUGAAUACGUUCCCGGG
RNAcentral lists this ribosomal RNA (1343 nucleotides) under uncultured bacterium. RNAcentral describes it as "16S ribosomal RNA". It matches the Rfam family "Bacterial small subunit ribosomal RNA", at positions 28 to 1378 of the family's 1533-position model. The record is from RNAcentral.